RNAcentral lists this ribosomal RNA (455 nucleotides) under uncultured organism. RNAcentral describes it as "partial 16S ribosomal RNA". It matches the Rfam family "Bacterial small subunit ribosomal RNA", at positions 330 to 801 of the family's 1533-position model. The record is from RNAcentral.
CGUACACUCCUGCGGGAGGCAGCAGUGGGGAAUCUUGCGCAAUGGGCGAAAGCCUGACGCAGCCAUGCCGCGUGAAUGAUGAAGGUCUUAGGAUUGUAAAAUUCUUUCACCGGGGACGAUAAUGACGGUACCCGGAGAAGAAGCCCCGGCUAACUUCGUGCCAGCAGCCGCGGUAAUACGAAGGGGGCUAGCGUUGCUCGGAAUUACUGGGCGUAAAGGGAGCGUAGGCGGACAUUUAAGUCAGGGGUGAAAUCCCGGGGCUCAACCUCGGAAUUGCCUUUGAUACUGGGUGUCUUGAGUAUGAGAGAGGUGUGUGGAACUCCGAGUGUAGAGGUGAAAUUCGUAGAUAUUCGGAAGAACACCAGUGGCGAAGGCGACACACUGGCUCAUUACUGACGCUGAGGCUCGAAAGCGUGGGGAGCAAACAGGAUUAGAUACCCUUGUAGUCCCAUGAU